RNAcentral lists this long non-coding RNA (991 nucleotides) under Rattus norvegicus (Norway rat). RNAcentral's name for it is "long non-coding RNA NONRATT033112". The record is from RNAcentral. Lineage: Eukaryota; Metazoa; Chordata; Mammalia; Rodentia; Muridae.
CAAAACUCAAGAGGCAGCAGUAUAACAGCUUUUAGUUUAACCUGAGCUACAUAGCCAAUACCAGUAAAGUAUAAGUAACCAUACAAUGAGAUGUUGACAUUGAAUAAUUAUAACUAUUGGUCUGUUUCCUAUAGGCAAGAACUGUGAGACAGAUGUAGAUGAAUGUGAAUCCUGGCCUUGUUUCCCAGGUGUGGAGUGCAUCAAUGUCUUUGGUUCCUAUUAUUGUGGUCCAUGUCCAGAAGGGUUUCAUGGUGAUGGAAACACAUGUCAUGACUUGAGUUUUCAACCACCGUCAAAGGAACCUUUACUGACAAAACCAAGCUUUACUUGGAGUCCUGCAACAACUUUCAACAAAUUCUUACACUCAGCAGGCACAUCCCACUUGUCAAUAAAAUCAGUCACAACUCAAAUGGAUAAUACAAAGAAGGGUGGUGUUUCUCAUCAGACACCAGCUCAUGAGUAUGUGGAUCACGUUCUCAGUACAGAUCUAACUGUUGACGUGCUUGAAGUUCCGGCACCCAGUGGUCAUUUUUUAAGCACCAAUCCUAACAGUUCUUUUGGCCAGGUAGAUCCUGUCCAGAGCACUACUCCAACAGAGACCGGAGGGCAUAAUGCUCAAAUUAGCCAACCUUUCCAAAAUUUCUCUGGGCGAGAGUUUACAUCGUUUACAUCAUUGACAACUAAAGCAGCAAUUGCUGUUUUGCCAGGAAAGUCUACAUCAACCAAAAUGUCAAAUUGCACAGAAUCAUCUUGUUUCCUGGGUGUUUCCUGUAUGCCAACCGCAGAUGGUCACUUCAGGUGUGGUCGCUGCCCCUCUGGGUAUUACGGAGAUGGUGUCAUUUGCAGAGCAUUUUGUAGACACUCUUGUGGAAGAAACAGGGAAUGUGUUGCCCCAAACAUAUGCAAAUGUAAACCAGGUUACACUGGUUCCAACUGCCAAACUGCCAUCUGUCACCCUGCUUGCAAAAAGCAUGGAAAAUGCAUUAAGCCU